GGGGUGGUGAGGCGGAUGGGGGAGGCCUUGUGCCGGGGAGGGCUGAGCGAGGGCUCGCAGGGCCGGCUGCGGGUUGCCGGCCGUCCCUCAGUGCGCAGAUGCUAAGCUAAGGUGAUACAUCUUCCCACUUAGACCCGCAAAACUGCACAAGAGACUUAUAACUGAGACACAGCCUGAAGAAAGUUAAGGAAGUUGUUAGUAGUCUCUGUCACAAAUGAGAAGACUCAUUUGGUUGGUCUUUUCUGGUUCUGGUCUUUUCUUCAGACUUUGAUGAAACUACAAAGUACAGAAAGUUGUUUUUGCUGAGGGAGCAGCAUCUGUAAGAAGAAAAAGAGAAACUUCAAGCAAAACAAAAAAAGCUAGAGGAAGCCAAUGAGAAGAACUAUAGUUGGUUAUGACUAAUCUGCUACAAGCUUAAGUUUUCUUGUUACUUAAUGGGUCUUUUAACUUAAUUUAUAGAGUCCAUUGAAUCUAUUUCUUCUUAAUUUCUUUUGACAGUUAAGACUUUUUUUUUUUUUUUUUUUUUUUUCCAUAAAGUAUGUGAAGCUCAUGUACUUUGGCUAAGAAAUCUGUUAGCAUCUGGAGUAACAGUACAACAACAUUCAGAUUUUUUAUGAAAUAGAGGUUAGUAAGCCACAAACAGUAAACCUGAAGUAUCUCACACCUCUUUGCUGUGCCUUCACUUUUCAGUGAUAGUUAAAGUAUGAUAUAAAAAAAAAUUCCUUUUUGUUUGCCUGUUUGACAUGGUCAAUGCAAAUAAAUCACAUUAAGCUUCGAAAAACAGUUAAUUAUCUAUCAGCAAGCUCAUUCAUUUCCAGCAUGUAGGUAGAUGUUGUUUCAAACAGAAAAUGAUGUUCUAAAAGUCCAUGUGGACCUGUUAAUUGUGAGAGAAACGUGUAGAAUACCCCAUGUAAAAUGAGCAUGCUGCUUUUCAGUAAAAACCUUUAUUUCACUGUCAGAAAUGCUAUACACAUUCAAGUUGAGUUAUGCAGUUUGUUACUUCUCAAGAUGGUUGUACCUCUUGAUUGAGCAAGUCAAGAGUUUCUUAAGACAUUAUAUGCUUUACAUAAAGCAUACAUCAAGUGGGAAUGACACUACAGGAAUAUUUACGUUUUCAAGUCAUUCUUCGUAUUUGAAUGACAGCUGAAUGAACCAUCACUUAAAAGAAAGAAGAAAACAAAUGAUAUUUUUUGUUAAAGUAAAGAACGUGUUAAGGAUGGAAGGAACAUCUAGGAAAGUAUAACAAUCAUUGCAAUUGCAAGAGUAAGUUGUGGAGGAAAAAAGACUGCUGCUGUCCUAUUCUGGAGAUUACUAUGACAGGUUACUAAGUUCCACUCCAUUUAAAAAUUUCUUCCUGCAAAUUAAGGAAGGGUUUUCUAAAAAUUGAGUAGAGUUCCAUAAUGGAACUGUGGCAAAUUAAAACAGGUUGCUGUGACAGUUCCUAAAAUAUUUCUAUUUUAGCUUUGUUUUGUAUUAUAAAUAUGUAAUAUAAACAUGUAAGUCAUUCUUGUCAAAACAGGACAUUAUAUUUCUUUUUGGGAAAAAUUACCAGACCUUUUCUUGAUGCUCUUAAUUUUACAUAUUUAACAAAAUAAAAAUAAGGUCUAAUUCCAAAUGCUUACAUUUAUAUCUGCAUAAUUAUAAACCCACAUAAAUACAGCUUUAGUCUUACAAAUGAGUCUUAAGUAUUAUAUAUGGUAUUGUUAGCUUUGAGUUUGCCUACUGCUCUGUUUAACAAGUGACUAAAAAAUAAAUGAUAUUUAACACUGACAAAACUGUUCUUAGUGGUUUCCCAAAUAGAAGUCAAUGGCAAAGAUAGAGGUCAGUGCCAGAAGAUAUUAACAGUUCUGGGUUUUGUUCCAAUAGCACAAUACCGUGUCAAAUCUAAAUGGAUGCAGGAAAUUGCAUCUACUCCUUUGUAAAUAAGAAACAGGUGGGCUCAGAGAUACAGACCAAAAAAUAGCACAGAUUUAUCUUGCAGAUUUUUUUGAUGAAAUCUUUCAUAAGGAACUUAUUUAAUAUUUGUUCCAGUGGACCACUGUGUUAACUGAAUAAGUUUAAAUCAAAAGUAAAACGAACCUAUCUUUCUGCAUCCAUUAAUUUACAACAAGAUGAAGUUAACCCAGAAUUUUUAUGAGGAAGAGUGAGAGUUGAGUCUUAAUAUUCACAGGUACAGAAAGAAGGACAGUUUUUUGACAUCAAGAUAUAAGAACUAUACUUUGGAGAAGGAGCUGUGAAAGAUAGGGGUCAGUUGUGUGGGGCCAUAAGGUUUGUAAAUUACUGUUUAAGAUAUUUCUUCAAUUAAAACUUGCAGGUGUGCCCCAGAAUACAGAUACCCAGCUCUGUCCUAUAUACAGUAAUCCCAGAUCUUAAAGCAAAGAUUUUUGUUUGCUUGCUUUUUAUAUUGUCUGUUGAUUAUUUCUCCAAAUACAGUUUGGUGUCUGCAAUUGGUUUCUGGCAGAGUCUCUCAGAAUGUGAUUCAAGUACUGCAUCAAGGGCAGCAAGGUUUUCUUGACUUGUGUCAAGACGUUAGAAAUCAUUUAAUUAAUGACAGUGUAUUUUUGCUUCUUUGAAGAUGCUAAUGAACAAGGAAAAGGAAAAGUCCCAAAGACAGGAACAAAAUGACGAGGGUCAAAAUUAUUCUCUGUUAGAGUGGAGAUGCAUUGGCUCAGGCUGCCCAAGUCAGUGGUGGAGUCACCAACCCUGGAGACACUCAAGAACCGUGGAGAUGUAGCACUGGAAGAAGACAUAGUGGACAUGGUGGGAAUGGGUUGAGGUUAGAUUUGGUGAUUUUAGUGGUUUCUUUUUCCAACCUUAAUAAAUCUACGAUUCCUUGAA
Molecule: long non-coding RNA, 2838 nt
Organism: Coturnix japonica (Japanese quail)
Lineage: Eukaryota; Metazoa; Chordata; Aves; Galliformes; Phasianidae
Source: RefSeq, a predicted model, not a curated record